RNAcentral lists this ribosomal RNA (406 nucleotides) under uncultured bacterium. RNAcentral describes it as "partial 16S ribosomal RNA". It matches the Rfam family "Bacterial small subunit ribosomal RNA", at positions 30 to 526 of the family's 1533-position model. The record is from RNAcentral.
AUUGAACGCUGGCGGCAGGCUUAACACAUGCAAGUCGAGCGAGUGGCGGACGGGUGAGUAAUGUCUGGGAAACUGCCUGAUGGAGGGGGAUAACUACUGGAAACGGUAGCUAAUACCGCAUACCAUCAGAUGUGCCCAGAUGGGAUUAGCUAGUAGGUGGGGUAAUGGCUCACCUAGGCGACGAUCCCUAGCUGGUCUGAGAGGAGGACCAGCCACACUGUAACGGAGACGCGGGCCAGACGCCUACGGGAGGCAGCAGUGGGGAAUAUUGCGCAAUGGGCGCAAGCCUGAUGCAGCCAGGCCGCGUGUGUGAAGAAGGCCUUCGGGUUGUAAAGCACUUUCAGCGAGGAGGCGUUACUCGCAGAAGAAGCACCGGCUAACUCCGUGCCAGCAGCCGCGGUAAUUC